AGCUUCCUGUGUGCAAGCCUGCAGGUGCGCCAGUGCUCAGCAGAGGGCACUGAAUGCUGCGGCACUCGGGUUAACAGAUGGUAGUGAGCUGUCUGAACUACUUAAAAUUUUCAGGUAAAAGGGCAGCAAGCAUUCUUAAACUGCUGAGCGGCCCUCUAGGUGUUCUUUGCUGGGGCAGGGGAGUUAGCAGGGAGGAAGUGGAGAGAACUGGGAGAGUUGAGACCCUCCUUCUGAGCGUUAAGCUGCAUGUAGAUAAUAUCUGCAGGUGUGGCACAAUUGAAAAGGCAGUGGCUUUCAGGCUAGUCACUGCACGGACUAGUAAGGCAGCUCUCUUGCUCCCAGCACCGUGCAUCUGAUUCUCCGUUCUCAGGAUCACUCAGAAGAGGAUCAGCUGCUGAUCAUACGUCUGACUCAGCUAUAUCUCAUUGCUAUGGCUCUUGGCCACAAGAUAUCUGACUCUGUGUCACCAGCCUAACAGAAGAUCACAUUGUGCUGCCAAAGCACAGAACACACCCAGCUUCUUGGAUUUCAUCUGUCUUGCAUUUCCUUAUGUAUCAGUUACAGGAAAAGCAGCAACUGAAAUACAGCUCUCAAAUGCUCUGGAUGAGAUUCCCUCUUCCUAGAUGUCUCUAUCUCAUGUCAAGUUGACAAAGAACUAACCAG
This 663-nucleotide long non-coding RNA is filed under the name Mus musculus (house mouse). Its description in RNAcentral is "lincRNA-EC48". Lineage: Eukaryota; Metazoa; Chordata; Mammalia; Rodentia; Muridae. The record is from RNAcentral.